CUGUCUGAAAGAAAGUGGUAAUGAUGAUAC
This 30-nucleotide non-coding RNA is filed under the name Cricetulus griseus (Chinese hamster). Lineage: Eukaryota; Metazoa; Chordata; Mammalia; Rodentia; Cricetidae. The record is from RNAcentral.